RNAcentral lists this ribosomal RNA (245 nucleotides) under uncultured bacterium. Its description in RNAcentral is "partial 16S ribosomal RNA". It matches the Rfam family "Bacterial small subunit ribosomal RNA", at positions 524 to 768 of the family's 1533-position model. The record is from RNAcentral.
UACAGAGGCCCCAAGCGUUGUCCGGAAUCACUGGGCGUAAAGGGUGUGUAGGCGGUUUUGUUAGUCUCCCGUUAAAGACUCCGACCCAAUCGGAGGAAUGCGGGGGAAACGGCAAAACUUGAGGGUGCGAGAGGUAUAUGGAACUCAUGGAGUAGGGGUGAAAUCCGUUGAUAUCAUGGGGAACACCAAAAGCGAAGGCAAUAUACUGGCGCAUUCCUGACGCUGAAACACGAAAGCGUAGGUAG